Molecule: ribosomal RNA, 425 nt
Filed under: uncultured bacterium
Lineage: Bacteria
Description: partial 16S ribosomal RNA
Rfam family: Bacterial small subunit ribosomal RNA
Source: RNAcentral
GUUAGGAAUAUUGGACAAUGGGCGCAAGCCUGAUCCAGCCAUGCCGCGUGAGUGAUGAAGGCCUUCGGGUUGUAAAGCUCUUUAUUCCACGAAUAUAAUGACUGUAGUGGAAGAAUAAGCCCCGGCUAACUUCGUGCCAGCAGCCGCGGUAAUACGAAAGGGGCUAGCGUUAUUCGGAAUCACUGGGCGUAAAGCGUGCGUAGGCUGUUUUGUAAGUCAGAAGUGAAAGCACAGGGCUUAACCCUGGAAUUGCUUUUGACACUACAAGAGUCGAAUUCGGAUGAGGAUAGCGGAAUGUGCAGUGUAGCAGUGAAAUGCGUAGAUAUGGACAGGAACACCAGUUGCGCAAGCGGCUAUCUGGACUGAUACUGACGCUGAGGCACGAAAGCGUUGGGAGCAAACAGGAUUAGAAACCCGUGUAGUCC